This 497-nucleotide ribosomal RNA is filed under the name Desulfovibrio sp. RNAcentral describes it as "bacterial SSU rRNA". It matches the Rfam family "Bacterial small subunit ribosomal RNA", at positions 36 to 516 of the family's 1533-position model. Lineage: Bacteria; Pseudomonadati; Thermodesulfobacteriota; Desulfovibrionia; Desulfovibrionales; Desulfovibrionaceae. The record is from RNAcentral.
CUGGCGGCGNGCUUAACACAUGCAAGUCGAACGCGAAAGGGACUUCGGUCCUGAGUAAAGUGGCGCACGGGUGAGUAACGCGUGGAUAAUCUGCCCUUAUGAUCGGGAUAACAGUUGGAAACGGCUGCUAAUACCGGAUACGCUCAAAAUGAACUUUUUGAGGAAAGAUGGCCUCUGCUUGCAUGCUAUCACGUAAGGAUGAGUCCGCGUCCCAUUAGCUUGUUGGCGGGGUAACGGCCCACCAAGGCAUCGAUGGGUAGCCGAUUUGAGAGGAUGAUCGGCCACACUGGAACUGAAACACGGUCCAGACUCCUACGGGAGGCAGCAGUGGGGAAUAUUGCGCAAUGGGCGAAAGCCUGACGCAGCGACGCCGCGUGAGGGAUGAAGGUUUUCGGAUCGUAAACCUCUGUCAGAAGGGAAGAAACUACGUUGUGCUAAUCAGCAGCGUACUGACGGUACCUUCAAAGGAAGCACCGGCUAACUCCGUGCCAGCAGCC